AAAUAUCGCAGUUUUGAGUUUUUAUAUCCAAUACUUAAAUAUCUGUUUUCUUUUAAAAAAUUAUAAUUAGUAUUUUUGUUGUUAUUAAAUGAUAAAACAUGAAUAAUAACUUACGCAUGACUAAUUUUUUAAUUAUUUUAUAUUUUUUAAAUAAGAUAGACGAUCAAAUAUUAGACAUGAAAAUCCACAACUACACUUAGU
This 201-nucleotide microRNA precursor is filed under the name Oryza punctata. RNAcentral's name for it is "MIR812 microRNA precursor family". It matches the Rfam family "MIR812 microRNA precursor family". Lineage: Eukaryota; Viridiplantae; Streptophyta; Magnoliopsida; Poales; Poaceae. The record is from Rfam by way of RNAcentral.